GGGCUCGUGGUCUAGCGGUUAUGACGUCACCCUGACAUGGUGAAGGUCGCCGGUUCGAAUCCGGCCGAGCCCA
This 73-nucleotide transfer RNA is filed under the name Actinomycetes bacterium. Its description in RNAcentral is "Actinobacteria bacterium tRNA-Val". It matches the Rfam family "tRNA". From Rfam's summary of the family: Transfer RNA (tRNA) molecules are approximately 80 nucleotides in length. The record is from RNAcentral. Lineage: Bacteria; Bacillati; Actinomycetota; Actinomycetes. RNAcentral also lists the same sequence under 2 other names.